AGGUUUCUCCAAGUUCCCAAAAUUGAGAACCUCUAAGUCUCCACACCAAGGAGAGAUUGGAGAAGAAAAUGAAUGACCUUGGAAUAGUAGUAUGGCUAGAUACACCCUCCAAGGGGCCGACCUCUUUAGAGAGAAAUGGAGAGACAUGUUCUCUUCAAUUUUCUCCAAAACAAACCCUUAAUUAAUUUUGGCUAUAAAGUCAUAUUUAUACCUUUAUUCAUUUGAGUGGCAAACUUGUAAUUAA
This 244-nucleotide long non-coding RNA is filed under the name Malus domestica (apple). RNAcentral's name for it is "long non-coding RNA (MDOM_LNC017972)". The record is from RNAcentral. Lineage: Eukaryota; Viridiplantae; Streptophyta; Magnoliopsida; Rosales; Rosaceae.